RNAcentral lists this ribosomal RNA (559 nucleotides) under Streptosporangium sp. 322B07. RNAcentral's name for it is "bacterial SSU rRNA". It matches the Rfam family "Bacterial small subunit ribosomal RNA", at positions 93 to 670 of the family's 1533-position model. The record is from RNAcentral. Lineage: Bacteria; Bacillati; Actinomycetota; Actinomycetes; Streptosporangiales; Streptosporangiaceae.
GAGCGGCGAACGGGUGAGUAACACGUGAGUAACCUGCCCCCGACUCUGGGAUAAGCCCGGGAAACUGGGUCUAAUACCGGAUACGACACCUCCCCGCAUGGGGUGGGUGUGGAAAGUUUUUCGGUUGGGGAUGGACUCGCGGCCUAUCAGCUUGUUGGUGGGGUAAUGGCCUACCAAGGCGACGACGGGUAGCCGGCCUGAGAGGGCGACCGGCCACACUGGGACUGAGACACGGCCCAGACUCCUACGGGAGGCAGCAGUGGGGAAUAUUGCGCAAUGGGCGAAAGCCUGACGCAGCGACGCCGCGUGGGGGAUGACGGCCUUCGGGUUGUAAACCUCUUUCAGCAGGGACGAAGUUGACGUGUACCUGCAGAAGAAGCGCCGGCUAACUACGUGCCAGCAGCCGCGGUAAUACGUAGGGCGCAAGCGUUGUCCGGAAUUAUUGGGCGUAAAGAGCUCGUAGGUGGCUUGUCACGUCGGGUGUGAAAGCUUGGGGCUUAACUCCAGGUCUGCAUUCGAUACGGGCUGGCUAGAGGUAGGUAGGGNAGAACGGAUUCCU